CAGCAGCCACGGUAAUACGAAGGGGGCUAGCGUUGUUCGGAAUUACUGGGCGUAAAGCGCACGUAGGCGGAUAUUUAAGUCAGGGGUGAAAUCCCAGAGCUCAACUCUGGAACUGCCUUUGAUACUGGGUAUCUUGAGUAUGGAAGAGGUGAGUGGAAUUCCGAGUGUAGAGGUGAAAUUCGUAGAUAUUCGGAGGAACACCAGUGGCGAAGGCGGCUCACUGGUCCAUUACUGACGCUGAGGUGCGAAAGCGUGGGGAGCGAACGGGAUUAGAUACCCGUGUAGUCCUGUCUCUUAUACC
RNAcentral lists this ribosomal RNA (301 nucleotides) under uncultured bacterium. Its description in RNAcentral is "partial 16S ribosomal RNA". It matches the Rfam family "Bacterial small subunit ribosomal RNA", at positions 509 to 808 of the family's 1533-position model. The record is from RNAcentral.